GUUAGUCCGGGUACAGGCAGGAAACGAUGGUCAAAGCAACACAGGAACAAAACACGAGGGUCACGGAACAUGAAACACUAGAACGAGGAAACUCAGGAACUCGGGAAACUCAAGGGACUCAGAAAACUAACGAAACUCAACAAUCUGGCGGCUUGAUUCUGUGCAAGGUGGAUGCUAAAUACCGGAGACCUGAAGAUUAUCAUACUGAGAGUCACAGCUGCAGUAGAUCAUGGUACAACUCUGAAGUGACUGAGACCUGAAGGCUUCAUUGUUUGGUGGUCAAUGGAGAAGCUGGAGAACAGACAGUUCAGCAAACUGGUUUUAACUGUGAAAUAAUUAACAAAAUCUAGAAAAGUGUUUCAGGUUAUAACAUGAAAUCAGAUGUGAAGGAUGACACUUGUGAUCCGGGAACAGGAUACUCUAGUGAUGGUAGAUGAGGCGUCAUGAACACGACACUUUGCAAAACUGUAUUGAUACUGUGUCACUGAAUACUGACACCUGCUGGACCUUAAAAAUCCCUACAGGCAACUUAGUUGACGGACUGGUUUGAUGACCUAAUAUAUACAAUAAUAUAAUUUAAGCCAUUGUAUGUUAUAUAGUAUUAUUUCACAUCUUCAUUUACAUUUAAAAUUGAUAUUUUUAGAUACAUUCGAUAAAGUGGACAUGUAUCAUAACGUAAAAAUCUAAGUGAACAUGUUGUGAAUAAGGAUGCUUUUUUUGUUUGUUUUUUUAAACAAAUGUGGUCUCUCUGCCCACUGCAAUGAGGAGAUCUUGCCAAAGGUUGUCCAGAAACAACACACUGCCAUGUUAGUACAUGAUUUCCAAACAUCAAGAAACAAAUAAUGCUGAAUAACAUGCCUGAAGUGGGUGCAGACAGCUGCUGUUCUGACUGCAGUCUACUGACGGCCUCAUUGCACUUGGAGGAACUGCGGAACCAGAGUGAUUUAAAUCUGGGCUCUAGAAGUGUUGCUGGGGUCAAAACUCUGAGGUGGUUUGGUUUAAAUAGGAAAGUUCUGUCGAAUAAAUACGAAAUUUAACCUGCA
This 1043-nucleotide long non-coding RNA is filed under the name Betta splendens (Siamese fighting fish). RNAcentral describes it as "lncRNA (ENSBSLG00000022071.1)". The record is from RNAcentral. Lineage: Eukaryota; Metazoa; Chordata; Actinopteri; Anabantiformes; Osphronemidae.